UACGAACUGUGCAAACGUUUAUUCGGAUUCACUGGGCUUAAAGGGUGCGUAGGCGGCCUGUUAAGUCAGGGGUGAAAGACGGUAGCUCAACUAUCGCAGUGCCCUUGAUACUGAUGGGCUUGAAUGUACUAGAGGUAGGCGGAAUGUGACAAGUAGCGGUGAAAUGCAUAGAUAUGUCACAGAACACCAAUUGCGAAGGCAGCUUACUAUGGUAUGAUUGACGCUGAGGCACGAAAAGCGUGGGGGAUCAAAACAGG
This 257-nucleotide ribosomal RNA is filed under the name uncultured bacterium. RNAcentral describes it as "partial 16S ribosomal RNA". It matches the Rfam family "Bacterial small subunit ribosomal RNA", at positions 524 to 776 of the family's 1533-position model. The record is from RNAcentral.